Long non-coding RNA from Salvelinus fontinalis (brook trout), 7546 nucleotides. RefSeq lists it as uncharacterized. The record is from RefSeq and is a predicted model, not a curated record. The transcript has 2 exons. Lineage: Eukaryota; Metazoa; Chordata; Actinopteri; Salmoniformes; Salmonidae.
GAAAGCUAACAAGUUGCCUAAAAGGAGCCGGUCCUGAUUUGCUGGGCAUCUCUUCAACUGUUGGUGACACUUAGAAAUGAUGAACAUUUUCUCCAGCCUAGCGAGUUUACAUGAUUGUGCAUAAUGAUAGUGUACAUUACAACUAAAGUAGCUACAGUUAGUUGGUAGCAAGCUAACUCUAUAUCUCAGUUAGCUAUCUAAUUGUGUACUGCCUUGAAUUAUGCAAUGCAAUGUUUGAAUUUGAUAUGGUUUGUGAUGCAAAGUAUUUGCCGUGGAUUGCAGUGAUUCGAAGCAACAGAACAUUUUCCUGACUCCAUUAGUGCUGAGCGAUUAGUGCUUUUUGAGGUCAGUUCGGUUUGAUAAUUUAAAUAAUUUCGUUAUGAUCAAUUGUUUUACAAUGACUGUAAAGCUUUUUAAUGGAAAUUCCAAAGACCAAACUAUUCAACAUUCAAUUGCCAAAACAUUUUAAAUAUUCCAAUGUCUCUGUCUGGUCCACAUUGGGUAGAAAGCAAUAGAAAAAUAGGAAAUUACUAUGAAAUAAUCAAAUAUUUCAAUUGUGUAUGUACAGCGAGCUUCAAAGGUAUUGAGACAGUGAACAUUUUGUUGUUGUUUUGGCUCUGUACCCCAGCACUUUGGAUUUGAAAUGAUACAAUGACUGAGGUUAAAGUGCAGACUGUCAGCUUUAAUUUGAGGUUAUGCUGCAAUAGUCUAUGUGCCGGGGGGCUAGGGUCAGUCUGUUAUAUCUGGUGUAAUUAUCCUGUCUUAUUUGGUGUCCUGUCCCUCCUCCCCCGGAGAACCUGAGCCCUAGGACCCUGCCUCAGGACUACCUGGCCUGAUGACUCCUGGCUGUCCCCAGUCCACCUGGUUGUGCUGCUCCUUCAGUUUCAACUUUUCUGCCUGCGGCUAGGGAACACUGACCUGUUCACCGGACGUGCUACCUUGUCCCGGACCUGCUGUUUUCAACUCUCUCUCUCUCUUUCUUUCUUUACCGCACCUGCUGUUUCGACCUCUGAAUGCUCGGCUAUGAAAAGCCAACUGACAUUUACUCCUGAGGUACUGACCUGUUGCAUCCUCUACAACCACUGUGAUUAUUAUUUGACCCUUCUGGUCAUCUAUGAAUGUUUGAACAUCUUGAAGAACAAUCUGGCCUUAAAUGGCCAAAUACUCUUAUAAUCUCCACCCGGGAACAGCCAGAAGAGGACCCUGCCACCCCUCAGAGCCUGACCCUCAGAGCCUGAUUCCUCUCUAGGUUUCUUCCUAGAUUCCUGCCUUUGUAGGGAGUUUUUCCUAGCCACUGUGCUUCUACAUCUGCAUUGCUUGCUGUUUGGGGUUUUAGGCUGGGUUUCUGUGUAGUUAUAUACUAUACAGAAUAUAGUUUGUGAUAUCGGCUGAUGUAAAAAGGGCUUUAUAAAUACAUUUUAUUGAUUGAUUGAUCCAUAACGUGUGCACCGUUUAGAAAUUACAGCACUUUUUGUACUGCUGGAGGUCAUUUUGCAGGGCUCUGGCAGUGCUCCUCCUUGCACAAAGGCGGAGGUAGCGGUCCUGCUGCUGGGUUGUUGCCCUCCUACGGCCUCCUCCACGUCUCCUGAUGUACUGGCCUGUCUCCUGGUAGCGCCUCCAUGCUCUGGACACUACGCUGACAGACACAGCAAACCUUCUUGCCACAGCUCGCAUUGAUGUGCCAUCCUGGAUGAGCUGCACUACCUGAGCCACUUGUGUGGGUUGUAGACUUCUUCUCAUGCUACCACUAGAGUGAAAGCACCGCCAGCAUUCAAAAGUGACCAAAACAUCAGCCAGGAAGCAUAGGAACUGAGAAGUGGUCUGUGGUCACCACCUGCAGAACCCCUCCUUUAUUGGGGGUGUCUUGCUAAUAGCCUAUAAUUUCCACCUUUUGUCUAUUCCAUUUGCACAACAGCAUGUGAAAUUUAUUGUCAAUCAGUGUUGCUUCCUAAGUGGACAGUUUGAUUUCACAGAAGUGUGAUUGACUUGGAGUCACAUUGUGUUGUUUAAGUGUUCCCUUUAUUUUUUUGAGCAGUGUAUAUACAGUAUAUAUAUAUUUAAUCCGUUUUAGAAUAAGGCUGUAACGUAACAAAAUAUAGAACAUUUGAAGGGGUUUGAAUACUUUCCGAAUGCACUGUAUGUCUCGACUUGAUUUCUGUAGAGAAACGGCACGUUGGGCUCAAAUACAGAGCUAAAUUGAAUUCAAGCAAACCGAUGGUCUUUUUUCUUCUUUUUUUUAUAACUGAAAAAAUAUACAGUACUGUGCAAAAGGUUUAGGCAGGUGUGAAAAAAUGUUGUGAAGUAAGAAUGCUUUCAAAAAUAGACAUGUUAAUAGAUUAUAUUUAUCAAUUAACAAAAUGCAAAGUGAGAACAGAAAAUCUAAAUCAAAUCAAUAUUUGGUCUGACCAACCUCUGCCUUGAAAACAGCAUCAAUUCUUCUAGGUACACUUGCAGAGUUUUUGAAGGAACUCGGCAGGUAGGUUGUCCCAAACAUCUUGGAUAACUAACCACAGUUCUUCUGUGGAUUUAGGCAGCCUCGUGUGCUUCUCUCUCUUUGUGUAAUCCAAGACAGACUAUAUGAUGUUGAGAUCAGGGCUCUUGUGGGGGCCAUACCAUCACUUCCAGGACUCUUUGUACUUCACGCUGAAGAUAGUUCUGAAUGACUUUUGCUGUAUAUUUGGGGUCGUCGUGCUGCAGAAUAAAUUUGGGGCCAAUCAGAUGCCUCCCUGAUGGUAUUGCGUGAUGGAUAAGUGUCUGCCUGUACUUCUUAGCACUGAGGAGACCAUUAAUUCUGACCAAAUCCCCAACUCCAUUUGCAGAAAUGCAGCCCCAAACUUGCAAGGAACCUCCACCAUGCUUCACCAUUGCCUGCAGACACAUUCGUGUACCACUUUCCAGCCCGUCGCUGAACAAACUGCCUUCUGUUACAGCCAAAUAUUUCAAAUAUUUUGACUCCUCAGUCCAGAGCACCUUCUGCCAUUUUUCUGCACCCCAGUUCCCAUGUUUUCGUGCAUAGUUGAGUCACUUGGCUUCCACGUCGGAGGUUUGGCUUUUUGGCCACAGUCUUCCAUGAAGGCCACUUCUGACCAGACUUCUCCAGACAGUAGAUGGGUGUACCAGGGUCCCGCUGUUUUCUGCCAAUUCUGAGCUGAUGGCACUGCUGGACAUCUUCUGAUUGCGAAGGGAUGUAAGCAUGAUGUCUUUCAUCUGCUGCAGUAAGUUUCCUUGGCCGACCACUGCGUCUACGGUCCUCAACGUUGCCCAUUUCUUUGUGCUUCUUCAAAAGAGCUUGGACAGCACAUCUGGAAACUCCUGUCUGAAAUAUCUGCCUGGGAGAGACCUUACUGAUGCAGUAUAACUACCUUGUGUCUUCUUGCUGUGCUCAGUCUUGCCACGGUGUUUCUGUUUCAGUUAAUGAUUGUGUUUCAACCUACAUAUUGAAUUGAUGAUCAUUAGCACCUGUUUGGUAUAAUUGUUUCAUCAUACACCUGACUAUAUGCCUACAAAAUCCCUGACUUUGUGCAAGUGUACCUAGAAGAAUUUAUGUUGUUUUGAAGGCAAAGGGUGGUCACACCAAAUAUGGAUUUGAUUUAGAUUUUUCUUCUGUUCACUCACUUUGCAUUUUGUUAAUUGAUAAAUGUAAACUAUUAACAUGUCUAGUUUUGAAAGCAUUCUUACUUUACAGCAUUUUUUCACACCUACCUAAUACUUUUGCACAGUACUGUAUAAUGGUUAAUAUGACAAGCCAGGGACCUUGUUCCGCAUUUUAAACUACUGGGAGCUCGUAAAUCUCAGACUUCUGACUUCAGUGUGUUCAAGACAACUGAGAACUCGGGGGGGGGGAGGAUUUGUUUCCGACUGGGAUUAUUUUUUUUGAAUGGUCAUCCAACUCGGAAUUCCAAGUCGGGAACUCUGGCCUCUUUCUAGAGCUCUGACUUUCCAACCCUAAGAUGACUGACGUCAUCAUUUGAACAAUUUUUUCCCCAGAGUUCCCAGAUGUCUUGAAAGCAACAAACUGUUUAGGUGUUAAGCCUUUGUUAAAAGAUGCUUAAAAUUAUUAAAAGACACAACUAUUCGUGUGACCCAUCUGUAGGGGAGAGGGGUAAGUAGCGGUGGCAUGUAGCCUAGCGGUUAAGAGCGUUGGGCCAGUACCCAAAAGGUUGCUGGUUCAAAUCUCCGAGCCGACUUAGGUGAAAAAUGUGUGCCCUUGAUUAAGGCAUGUAACCUCAAACCUCAAAAAUGUCAUUCUGGGUAAGAGUAUCUGCUAAAUGACUAGACUGUAAUGUCAAAUGUAUGUUGAGCAAAAAGGCUAAGUAGAGUCACCCUUAUUUCUAGGAGACCAUUCACAAAUUAAUAAUUUGACCAAAUACUUAGGAAGAGGCCAUCAUUUCAUGGAAACUGUAAAGGAAGAAACCACAUGGAAAAAGUGGUAAGCAAGUAAGGUCCAUUUUCAUCAAGUCAAAUACAUUUGUGUUUGAGUUUUCAUGAUGCUUGUAGAUAAAUUAAAGAUUGUUCUGUACAUCAGAUGGGGUCUAAGCUCUAUUAAGAGGUCUUAAACCUAGCAUGAAAGUGCGUCCUUGUAGCUGUUUGGGCUAGAACUUUUCUAGAAUGCUUAAGAACAGAUGCUAUUAAACAAAACAGCAUCUGUUUUUGAGCAUUCUAGAAAACGGUUAGCUAUUUACUUAGGUAGCAGUGGUACGCUAGCAAGCCUGACAUACACUAUAUAUACACAAAAGUAUGUGGACACCCCUUCAAAUGUGUGGAUUCGGCUAUUGCAGCCACACCCGUGGCUGACAGGUGUAUAAAAUUGAGCACACAGCCAUGCAAUCUCCAUAGACAAACAUUGGCAGUAGAAUGGCCUUACUGAAGAGCUCAGUGACUUUCAACUUGGCACUGUCACAGGAUGCCAUCUUUCCAACAAGUCAAUUCAUCGAAUCGCUGCCCUGCUAGAGUUUUCCCGGUCAACUGUAAGUGUUGUUAUUGUGAAGUGGAAACGUCUAGGAGCAACAACGGCUUAGCCGCAAAGUGGUAGGCCACACAAGUUCACAGAAUGGGACCACCUAGUGCUGAAGUGUGUAGCGCCUAAAAUCGUCUGUCCUCAGUUCCAAACUGCCUCUGGGAGCAACGUCAGCACAAUAACUGUUCGUCGGGGGCUUCAUGAAAUGGGUUUCCAUGGCCGAGCAGCCACACACAAGCGUAAGAUCACCAUGCGCAAAGCCAAGUGUCUGCUGGAGUGGUGUAAAGCUCUGGAGUGAUGAAUCACGCUGAUAGUCCAGAUGGUGAAGUGUCGAACUGCUAUACUUUAUCUUGGCCAGGUCGCAGUUGUAAAUGAGAACAUGUUCUCAACUGGCCUACCUGGUUAAAUAAAGGUGAAAUAAAGUCCGACAGACAAAUCUGUGUUUGGCAGAUACCAGGAGAACGCUACCUGCCCGAAUGCAUAGUGCCCACUGUAAAGUUUGGUGGAGGAGGAAUAAUGGACUAGGGCUGUAUUUCAUGGUUCUGGCUAGGCCCCUUAGUUCCAGUAAAGGGAAAUUUUAAUGCUACAGCAUAGAAUGACAUUCUAGACGAUUCUGUGAUUCCAACUCUGUGACAACAGUUUGAGGAAGGCCCUUUCCUAUUUCAGCAUGACAAUGCCCCAGUGCACAAAGCAAGGUCCAUACAAUGGUUUGUUGAGAUCGGUGUGGAAGAACUUGACUGGCCUGCACAGAGCCCUGACCUCAAACCAGUCAAACACCUUUGGGAUGAAUUGGAACGCCGACUGCGAGCCAGGCCUAAUUGCCCAACAUCGGUGCCCAACCGCACUAAUGCUCUUGUUGCUGAAUGGAACAAGUCCACGCAGCAAUGUUCCAACAUCGAGUGGAGGCUGUCAUAGCAGCAAAGGGGGACCGACUCCAUAUUAAUGUCCAUGAUUUUGGGAUGAGAUGUUCGAUGAGCAGGUGUCCACAUACUUUUGAACAUGUAGCGUAUUUUGGAUACACAUAGCUGUGUGAAGGGGUGCAGCACAUGGUUUCUCAGAUGCAGCACAUGGUGUCUCGUCAGACAGUUCCCACAUUUCCACAUCACACAAAUCAUUUCACCUCUUUAACAGUUUUCCAGCCCACAGGCAGACUUGAACACAACAGGAGCCCAAAGUAGUAAAUGGCGUAUAGUAGCACUACCACAGGCUGAUUGUGCCAUACACUGCUACACCACAACUAACCUUCAGUCUCUCUCUCUCGCUUUUUCUCCCUCCCUCCCCUCCAUCUCUAGUUGGUGAAGCAGGAGGGCACAGGAACAGAGAUGCCUAUGACGUGGGACAAGGUGUUUGUUCUCUAUGUUUGCACGCUGCUGGAUGGAACCCUAUUUGACGGAAUCUCGUUUGGGUCUGCUAAGAGGAGUGGCGAAAGCCCUGACCGAUAUGGAGCAGGGAGUCCCUAUUCAUCAUCAAACCAAAGGGUGCGUAACUGGUGGCAGGGAAGUCAGACGCAGGAGAGCAGAACUUGGUAAUAACUGGAGCAGUUUAAUAGUAAAACCAACGGCAUAAGAAAUACAAAAUAUGGGCACAAUAACCCGACGCGCACCAGUCAAACAAAUGUGCACAAGCACUUACAAUAAACAAUACCACACAAAGACAUGGGGGGAACAGCGCCGCCUGAGUCUCCCUCCUGUCCAGCGCCGCCUGAGUCUCCCUCCAGUCCGGAGCGCCGCCUGAGUCUCCCUCCAGUCCGGAGCCGCCUGAGUCUCCCUCCAGCCCGGAGCGCCGCCUGAGUCUCCCUCCAGCCCGGAGCGCCGCCUGAGUCUCCCUCCAGCCCGGAGCGCCGCCUGAGUCUCCCUCCAGCCCGGAGCGCCGCCUGAGUCUCCCUCCAGCCCGGAGCGCCGCCUGAGUCUCCCUCCAGUCCGGAGCGCCGCCUGAGUCUCCCUCCAGUCCGGAGCCGCCUGAGUCACCCUCCAGUCCGGAGCCGCCAGUGCCGCCCUUCAGUCCGGAGCCGCCCUUCAGUCCGGAGCUGCCCCUCAGUCCAGUGGGGCCCUUUAUUAGGGUUCCCAGUCCAAGGUCGGCGGCGAGAGUCACCGCUCCAAAGAGGUUACUGAAGCGGGGUAUGACUAUGGUGGAGUGGGGUCCACGUCCCGCGCCAGAGCCACCACCGCGGACAGAAGCCCACCCAGACCCUCCCCUAUAGGUUUAGGUUUUGCGGCCGGAGUCCGCACCUUGGGGGGGUGGGGGUAGUGUCACGCCCUGACCAUAGUUUGCUUUGUAUGUUUGUAUGUUUUGUUUGGUCAUGUUGUGAUCUGAGUGGGCAUUCUAUGUUUUAUGUCUAGUUUGUCUAAUACUAUGUGUUUGGCCUGAUAUGGUUCUCAAUCAGAGGCAGGUGUUAGUCGUUGUCUCUGAUUGGGAACCAUAUUUAGGUAGCCUGUUUUGUAUUGUGGGUUGUGGGUGAUUGUUCCUGUUUGUGUGUUCCUGUGUUUAUUAGUGUUCACUAUUUCGGGACUGUUGCGUCGUCGUUUAUUUUGUCAGUUUAUUGUUUUUGUUCUUUAUUGAAAGUAUUCUAAUAAAUAUGAAUACUCACCA